UCCCGGAUGGCUCAGUGGUAAAGAAUCCGCCUGCCAAUGCAGGAGACCCAGGUUCAAUCCCUGGUCCAGGAA
RNAcentral lists this transfer RNA (72 nucleotides) under Ovis aries (sheep). It matches the Rfam family "tRNA". From Rfam's summary of the family: Transfer RNA (tRNA) molecules are approximately 80 nucleotides in length. Lineage: Eukaryota; Metazoa; Chordata; Mammalia; Artiodactyla; Bovidae. The record is from Rfam by way of RNAcentral.